Molecule: long non-coding RNA, 8696 nt
Organism: Mustela lutreola (European mink)
Lineage: Eukaryota; Metazoa; Chordata; Mammalia; Carnivora; Mustelidae
Exons: 3
Source: RefSeq, a predicted model, not a curated record
GCUCUUGUUUGGUAAACUCUCUAUCCUUUGGUUCUGAAGGACAACUUUGUGAGUGUGGUAUUAUUCCUGGUUGGCAGUUUCUUCUCACCAAUUUGAAAAGACCGUCAAGUUUUUGCUGACUAAUCUGUUGGUAGUCUUACAGGGUUUCCUUUGUAUGUUGCAAGGUUUUCUCUUCCUGCUUUAAGAUUCUUUACUGUGGCCACUUCAGUUACACUGUGUCUGUGUGCAUUUCUUUAGAUUGAUAGUUUCUGGAACUCUUCAGGCUUCCUGACUCUCUGACAGGAUGAAUUCCACUGGCCUGUUUUCCAAGUUUGCUGAUCCUUCUGUUUGAUCUAGUCUGCUGUUGACCCAUCUACCGAAUUUUUCAGCUGUUCCUGUGUUCUUCAGCUGUAGGAUUCGAUACUUCAUUUUCUCGUUGAGAUUUUCGGUUUGUUCGUGUGGCUCUGACCUCCGUGAGCAUCUGUAGAGUUACUUCGCACUCUUAGAGGUUCCUGUGCUCUGUGGCCGGAUUACUGUCAACAGACUGCAUGUGAUCUCAUCUAGACAUACUCCGUUUAUUAUGUAACUUAAACAGCUGCACAGAAUGCUACAAAAGCAGAAGAUUUUAAGUAGUGUGGCAAAGAGCAUACUAAUUGGGGUCCCGAUUGUUCUUCUGCCAAGGAUCCCGAGGUGGCAUCUCAGUUAGCAACAGCAGUGGCUCAGUAAGUAACAAGGGCUGGUGGUCCUUACUCAGAAACUUCAGAUGAUGGAAAAUCCCAGUGCCUGAUCAUGCUAACAGGUAAGCAAACGGACAGUAAAACGAGAUCCUAAGUAACAAACUUAGCUCUGCUGCUUUUGAGAGUUAACUGUUAGAUCUAGAGUGGUGGUGGUGUUCCCCCCCCCCCCUCCCCAGAUCUAGAUCUUCUCUACCUUGGGUUCACAAAGGAGCCAGUGGAACAUGGUCCCUUGGGAAGGUUCAGCAUUGUUUUUACUUUCCCACUUAAGCUUUGUAUUAAUCCCAUAUGUAUAAUUGCUUUUAUUUGCUGACGCUAGUCAGAAAAUUUGUAUACUUUACGCAACUAUAGAGAUGGGGCAGCAUCCUCCUAGAAACACGAUUUCCAUACACAUGUGAAAUCUUGAUCAUGCAUACUGUUGAAAAAUGACACCAUACUGCAGCCAGAGAAGGAAGAGUAUUUAUGUAUGGUAAAAAGGCAAGUGAGUGAAGCUAUACCUUUAUUGCAUUACUCUUAGUACAUCCACAACUGUUUCCACCUAAAUAGAUCUCUAAAAUAAGCAUACACAAGUAUUGACUAUUAUCUACAAAUAUUUAUUGUAACACUUGAAUAGAACUACAGGAAGCCCUUGGCACUGAUAGAAAAUAUUGAUUCACUGUUAGGUUACAAAAAUUUAUACAUAGCAAAAUUUAAUGCUCUUUACAUAAAAAAUAUUAGACUACUUAAACAAAAAACUUUCAAAAAUUCCUGGUAGUAGCUACCAGAAUUAGAAAAGUAAAAUUAGGCUUGAGACACUGCCUGUUCUAGAACACUGGACUCUAACAGCACCUCCACUGCUGGAAAAAAAAUAUUUAAAUCUGUCAUGCAACAGGAAAACAAAACAAGCUAUUCUGGAACAACUGUUCUACACGGAAGAGAGCUUCUCCCAGUUAAAAGAAAAAAAGUCAAGAUCCAAAUAGGCAUUUUUAGGCAUUAACAACAACAACAGAAAGAAUCCAAAUGAAAUACUAUACUUGAUGUUCAAUUUUAAUAGCAUCUUGAUAAAGGUAUGCUUCCUUUCAUUUUAAUACAUUUCUGCACAUGUAUAUGUUUUAAAAUCCAGGAAACAGCCAAACCACAAGUUAAUUCUUAACAUGAAUAUACAUAGUUAACCCUAUAUUAUGCAGCCCCUUUUAAAAAGCACUGAUGCACCCAACAGUUAUAUGUAUCAUUUCAUAAAGAACAACACAAAGUUUACCGUCACUAAUAUCCAGUACCUAUAAUCACUUAAUGUUCUGGAACACAAUGGUUUAGAAGGCAAGUUUCUUUUGAAAAUGGCUUAAACUCAAGCAGGUGUUUUUUUGUUUUUUUUUUUCUUUUUUUAUGUUGAACAUCGAACUUUUAUUAUUCCAGGAAAGAUUUUUAAAAAUGAAAUAAAUACCAACCCUAAUUUAAAUCACUUAAGUAUUCAAGUCUAUAAAAGUAGGAGGAGGUCUGUGGUCUACUUGUAAUUAGGUUUUAGAUAGUUGGUAUGAAACUGUAAACUUGCUAUUCAGACCACAUAGAAAUGGUUGCGAAUGGUGGUCAUUUUAAUAAGGUAACACUUCUUAAUUAAGAAAAACAUUGGUGGAACAAAAGUCUGUGAAGGAUUUGGGGUCUCCUGUUGUAAAAUAAGUUCCUAGAAAUUUAAAACAAAUACUCAUUAAGGCAGAGCUGACAUUUAUUUCCCAGGAAAGAAGAAUGACAACUGGGCCAUUUUAUUUAAAGGAAAUCUAUUAUAAAAUUGAUUCUGGAAAGCUUGUCAAGGAGUCAGAAUCCAGCUUCUUUGGGGGCAGGUGUAGCAGAAUUAUAGUAGCUCCUUUUAGCAUUAUUGAAAAAUAGAUUUCUCAUUGGGUCAGGAGAUUAAUGUAGGCUGGACUCAAGGGGUAGGGAAGGCAGCUAAUUUUUAAAAAGUCAAUUGUUAAGAAUCACAUUAUCUUUGAGCCAAAGUUUAAUAAAUGUCAGCUGUCAGAAAUGGAACCCCCCCCCCCAUUCCAUUUUAUUCCCUAUAGAUGAAGUGACUGGUGGACAGAUGGCAUAUGUGAAUUGAUGGUCACGUUCCUUGAUGCCGGCACAGCCUCGGUCCCUCUCAAGGAACAGGCCAUGUCCCCAUCGCCUGUUUUGGUAGGAUCGCUCUACCGAUAAACCUGAACAUGCCACCAAUUUCAGAAAGAUCAACCAUCCUUUUGUCAAAGUGUUGCCUUUUAAAAUGGCUAACAUGAAACCUCCAACAUCUGCUCUAAAGAAAAAGAUUGACCUGCUGGAAGGUGUUCCUAGAAAUACAUCCCAGCAGCUGGAGCCAGACAGUGAAGUGGAUAGGCUGUUUGGUGGGGUACACAUCUGUACUGCAGAGCAGCUGUCUCGGCAGUGGGCAGAGCUGUCAACGCGUCGGCCGUAACGCUCUGGCAAACAUUUAUGUGUACGAAUUGAGUUGUUCUUUUGACCGAGACUGGAUAUCUUGCAGUUCCUGUUCUUCCUUUGCUUUGACAUCCUGGUAAGCCUGCAUUUUGCUUGCAUCCUUUAAGUAAGCCCAGUUAGAAGACAGUAUCAUGAGGAAGUGGAUCUGGAAAAGAAGGGCGAGCGUGAUGGCUAGUGAGCAUGUCAGAAGGCAAAGCAAGCUGCUAGGCAGUUAGACGGUCUGUGCUGUCAAAGGGGAGAGGGUUAUUCGGAUUAAUACUCAUUCCGCUGUCAGAGCCCUCAGACCUGGAAGCAUGCUCUACUAGUAUGCUUAAGAGUAAGAGGCUGAAGAAAAGUUAGUAUACAAACACAAUGAACUGAAAAAAAAAAAAACGGCCAAAGUUAUUGUUAAGUAAAAGCAAAAAUGAAACAGGAGAGGGUUGUUUUGUCUUGUUUUUUCUUUACCAUUUUGGGAGUAAUUGUAAGUAACGCAGACGUUGGAAACACCUUGUGUGCUUAUCUUAAAAUCAGGGCAGUGCCAAGAUCUUAAUCAAUUCCCCGAAGGCCUAUAAGUGAAUGAUACUUAUUUUGAGUAACUCAUCAACUGCGGAGUUAACGGGAAAAUUACGUGUAUGUCAAGACCAAAAUGCAGACCUCUAGGCCCAGCCCGCCGUCUGCGUGAGCGCGUGCGCAGUAGCGCACCUCUGGUUUUCGUUCUAGGCCUGCCUUAGUGCAGGUCACCCAGGGUACAGAUCCUUCUUCUCCACAGUGGAGGUGGCCAACCCUUCUCGCCCGCUCCUUUUCCUCAUCUGCCCUGCAAAAUCUACAUCUCCGGUUCCUCCGAUUUCCUUUUCAACAUAUUUGAGACUUUCCGAUCCAGGCCCCAUGGCUAUUGCGCUCAGCACCGGACAUGCGGGGUGAGAGCCGGCUACGGGCAAUCAGACACUCCGCACCAAAACGCACCAAGGCGAGGUUGCUGCGGAGAGCUACACGCCCCACGUACAGUCCCACAGAAAAGGACAGGGUGCCCUUGCUUUUUCUUCACAUUGUCCUCUAGCUGGGUGGGCUAACUGGAGGGGCCUGUACUGGGUAGUGAGCCAUGAGAUCAGAAAAAGAGUUGUAGUCAAAUUUACAGUGUGUUUGCCUUUUUUUCCAGAGUCGAAGAAAACGCGUCUCUGCCAUCUCCUCUCCAGCACUGGUACUGGUUAUCAAGCAAGCAACAGUAAUAGACAAGGCCGGUGUUACAAAGUUUUAACACUUCAUUUAGAGAUACUGCUCCAAGUUCAAGAGAAUUAGUUAUUAACGGAUGCUCACCAAGGUCAGUACAUAACUGAAUCCUUUUCACAACGUGGAAAUAGCCAGAUCUCAUCUUUUUGUAAUUCACUCAGGGUAAGUCAUCUUAUUAAUCUACAAUGCAAAAUGAGUGGACUAGAGCUAUUUACAAAUUCCUGUCACCAGACUGCAGCAACCUAGGCUCGGCUUUAGUCAGGGAGAUGUCAGGCUCCCGAGGAGCGCUCCCUACGGCUCCUCGUUGGCCUUAAGCAAUUUAGAAUUUAGUGCAGCAAUCUUCCCGACUCUUAAACUUCAAGACGGCAUAGUUAUAGGUAGUAGCCAUCAUGUAGAUCAGCUGGUGGAAGAGAACAGAACACGACAGUAAGACAACGGCAGUCAGGGCGGCCACCCGCUUGGGACCCACGGCCUGGCUUCUUCCCCAUCUAUCAUCACCCAGAAGGGGGUCCUGCGGGGCACACAGACGUCCUCGUGCUUCACAUGCACACCGCUAGUCCUGGCCUCUGCCCUCAGGCUGUUGAUGCAGAAGCCUGGGAGGUGCUAGAAGAUGAAAAGCGCCAGGGGAAGCUGGGGGGCCCGUGUCCCCUGGUCUUCCCCAGCCGGCCCCUGUGGCAGCUUGGAAUCCACCGCUGGCCCCUCGCUCAGCAAGAGCACAGGUCGCCCCCAGGAUGGGAAAGGCCGUUGUUUGCGGGGGCCAGAAAGUUUCCCUCUGGGUCUACCGAGCCUCGAUUUCUUGAACGCCCACAGCGAGCCCUCCCGACCUCUGGCCGUACACGCAGGAACCGGGGGCCCUUUAUACUUGCUCCUCCUUAGCGGCCGGUUCCCUAUCUGCCCCUUUCCCUCCGUGUGACUGUCCCUGCUCGCGGCAUGGGCCUGGUCCCCGGCGGACACGCAGAGUGGGGCCCGGGGUUAGGCUCCCAGCUGCGGUCAGCCAAGGCCCCAGCGGCUUGUCUCAGACUCUCACCGAGCCGCCCUGCCGCAGGCGAGUCCGUGCUGAGGCAGGGAGGGGGUUUGCAUUCUGUGAUUUUGCUCUUUACAGGUUUCCUGGCCACAGUGCCGAACGAAGGGCUCUCGAAAGUCUCAGAGAGCAAGACGGCUCGGAGGGACCACGGAGCUUCCUUUAGGUAGGAGCUGUAGUGCGGACACCAGGAGCUCAGUGUUAACACCACCAUGGUCUACACUAAAUCAGGUAUCUUGGAGCAGAACCACAUCAAACAAGGUUAUGUGGUGAUACGUUUGAAAAGAGAUGUACCCGGCGGUGGCAGAAAGUGAACCCUGUGUGUCCCCCUCGAAACAGCGGCUCAGUGGCAGAGGAGAUCACCAAAGCAGCUCAACCGUCCCAGGCGGAGGGCUACCUAUAGGCAGUGCCAGCUGGAAACGCAGAUCUCUUGGCAGAGAUGCCUGACCAGUCCAGGCUCUCGGUGCACCCCUGUCCUAGGCCAGGCCUGGGUACUACCCUGUCGUCUUCCAGCAGAAUCCAAGUUCUGCCACCUGCGCUCUAGGUCUACCAGGCAGCACGGUCUGCCUGCGCCCCAGCCCGGGGGGAGAUCUACAUGGGUGACGUGGACCCGGGGCUCCGUCCCGGAGGCGGACCGCAGGAAGGCACAUCUGGCAGGAGAGCCUGGAGGGGGGGAGCGGCACUAGGCGGGCGUGGGGCUGUGGCUACUCACCAGGGCGACGACAGUGGCGCCGGCUCCGGCGCAGGCCACGAUGAACAGGUGGUAGGACAUGUAGAACUAGGAAAGAACAGGGCACCGGGUGAGCACUGUACACGGAAGGGAUGGGCCUCUACCUGGUCCUGCUCCUCUAGGGCUGCUUUCCCCGGGGCCGCUCCCUGGUAGGGGCGAGGGGGCAUGCUAAAGCUUCCUGAGGCCCAGGCUGUACCCACGACUAGUUAAAUCUCAGUGGUGGGCGGUAUAAUUCUCCUCACGACUGCCCUGUGCCACCUCCCUUGGGAGCCCCUGCUUGGAACCAGGCCCUGGUAUGGACAAGCCAACUGGCUGGCGACGGAGCAGGACGGGGCGGGGGUGGGGGGUGGCGCUGAUGAUUUCAGUAACUUGUGGCUUUCCCAAAGCAGGCUCCGAUUCCCCGAAGGAUGCGAGCUCCCCCUGGUGCCCUUGAGAAAACCGCUCUAACCAAUGCCCAAAGCCUGCUCUAAGGCCUGAGUUUAAAGCAAAGUGGGUUAGGGUGUACUGCGAGCUAAGAGUGAGUGAGAAGUAGUGAUGACCAGCUGUGACCAGAUUGAGAGGAAUUGGGCUUCUAUACAAAUUCUAGGGUUUGUUUUUUUUAAAGGGGAUCUUUUCUGUAUGAAAAUUUGCAUCUGUCCCAUGAUGAAUGUCCCACUUUGAAAAACCGUGUGAAGGUGAAAGAGAAGAAUCUACGUGUGUUUUCUGAUGGAGGCGGUUAGGGUCACUCUCAAAUUAGUGCCCGAAGAGAAAGCUCUCGGAGUGCUAAGGGUCCUCCCUGAACCGGCUGGACCAUGCAAAAGGGGCAUUUUCUAGGUCAGAAAUGGGUGAGUAUGGGUGAAGACAGACUGUUGGUUUGAUCUUAAAAAGUCUGCAGAGAGAAGCCUGCCUUCCUCGCAUCUGUAGCACCUGCUGCUCUGUCCCGCCAGGAGGGCCCUUUCCUCAGCCGGCUCUGCCAAGCGGCCAUGUCCAGACCCUGACAGGAGAAGGGUUUACCUCAUUGGUGUUGCAGAUGUUCUCGAGGGCGGAGCCGCAGAUCUUCCCUGGGAAAGCGUUCCAAGGGAUGAUUCCUGUGAGGUAAAGCCCGACAGAAGGUUAGCGGUCGGUUAGUGCCGCCCCACCGCAGUGGCCCUUGCUCUUACUCGUCCCCACCAACAUGACACCUCUGCCGACCAGGCCGCUGAGAAUCAGUAAGAAGUCCUCCUUAGCAGGACAAGAGCCAAGUCAACUGGUCCUUAAGUGCUUUAAGCUGCUUUGUUCUCCCUGCCAAUUGUGCGUGCUUGAGUUGACCUCAUAUUGUAAAAAUUGAUUUUCCAACCGGUUAAACAGCUGGAGGACAGCCACCUUCAUAUAGGAUUUCCCAGUCCAUGGACUUCCUACUGAAGUCCCCAAAUUGAGGGUCUACACUCAAAGUUUAUGGAAUUUGGAUUCUGUAGGUCUUUUAUAUUCAUUUUCACUGGGAUUGGAAAUCCAAUUGGAAAUUUAACAAAAUGGAAGCAUGGUGGAGUCCAGUCCCCUGUCCCACCUCUCUGCUGUGCCAUGGCCCACCGGGUUGCUGGUCUCUGUGCUGUGUGCUAGCUCCAGUUACUCUUCUCCCAGGAGGUGAGGAAGGCUUUCUUUAAAAAGUCCCUUAGCCCUUCCAUCCCUGCCAUGGGCCCAGAGACGCUGGAGGAGAACGGGCCAUGACAAGUCCCCACGCUGUCCGUGAAACCAGUGAUUUCCCAUACAGAAGACUUACAAAUAGGAUCGCUAAUGGCCAGAAGUUUUGAGUCAAAUAUUUAAGACUAAGGAAAUGAUAUGCAUCUAAACAUUCACAAACACUUUUUAAAGAAUCAUCUUUAGGCUCUGUUUUCAAACCAUCAGGAAGACCAGUGCGGCUGAACCUUGGUGUUUAUGAGAAAACUACUCCAGUGGGCAGUCCUGGGCAAGUUUCUCAUUAUGUUGUAAGAAAAGACGUUGAAGCCAAGCCCCAUGGGAAAAACAAGAAGCACAAAUGAAACCGUCCUCUCUCCUGAGAAAUCUUGUCUUUAAUUUUAAUGAAAAGUACCCACCCCCCCACCCCCCCACCGCCUUGCUGUUUCUGCCAGGAACAGGGUUCCUCAGCAUCUUGGCAAGAAGCACUCAUUAAAGUCCUGACUUGGGAGGCUGCCUCUCAAUUUAAUUGACAGGAAGAGCAAUGGCCCUUCUGCGGCUUGUCAAAAUGAACCAACCUUAGCUGCCCAUUGCAAGUAUCCCAUUCAUUAGAAAAUGGGUUUGAAGGGGUUUCCAACAAGUCAGAUUUUAUUGAGUUCAGUCUGAUGACUUUAAAAUGUCUGGAUUUUGUUGCAUUUUCCAGGAGAGCUGAAGUUUAAGCAGUUGGUCAUUUUAAAAGCCCGGAUUGAAGAGUGGGACAUGGAAAUUAAUUGGACUACAGGGCAUACCCAAUAUUUUGGAUAAAGACUUGAAUGGUACAAAACUGAAAAGAAAUUGAAAAAAAAGUCUGUAAUCUUUUGAUGUCCAGAAGAUGGAUUAUAAUGCACUGCUACUUGGUAACCCAGUUUGAAAAGUUUCCUUUGUUCCAUACUUGAAAAUACAACAAAAAUCUGUAUUACAA